Pantherophis guttatus is the source of this 1015-nucleotide non-coding RNA. NCBI's taxonomy places the organism in Eukaryota, Metazoa, Chordata, Lepidosauria, Squamata, Colubridae. The record is from RefSeq and is a predicted model, not a curated record.
UUGGAAGUCUUUGAGGUCACAAUGGCCAGCAGCAUCAACAUGCAGUCACAGGAGACAUUUCACUGAGGGAGACAAAAGUUUCACUGAAGGAGACACAGUUUCUCCUUCCAAUUUUGCUGAGGCAGAAGAAGCAAAAGCAUGUGGACACAGACUACUGUUCACUGUAGAAAUCAACAAUAGAGGAAUAUUUUGCUGAAAUGGCAGUCAAGAAAGGAGUAGAGAAUGAGACUCCUGAUAAAAACAUGCUUCUUCAGACUUUGGUACUGUAUAGACAACCAGUUUUCUUGAAUUCUCUUGAUAGUGAUGAUCAUGAUGAGGAAGAAGAUGAGGAGAAAGAGGUGAUGGUGAAGAAGUCAGCUGAAAUUCAGGAUAGGCUUCUUUUCAGGUGAAAACAGAAAUUCUGAGGUGGAAUGAGUUAAAAUGAAAGCAUCGUUGAAAAAGAGAAAGUGACAGGAAUACAGACCUUUAGAGAGAGAGGAAAAAAGGAAGAGAAAAAGAAUUGGCUGCUUAAUGUUUUUUCUUCUUUUGAUGCUCCAUUUUUGGGUCUCACUGAUCACGUCUACAAAGGCUGAGUGAAAUGAAUGGAUCUUGUGCUAGGAAUGUCACUUGCCGAAUUGAACCAGGCAUUGUUAGCAUUUGAAAAGAACUGAAACAUGCAGGCAUGCCUAGCUGAAUUUAUGAGGAAAGCUUGUUUGUUUUUUAUACACUGGAGAAACUGUCUAAAAAUAGUUCAUCUUUGUGAAAACAUUUCUCCUGGAACGUUACCAAGGGCAACAAGGACUUGAAUUAUCAGCCUUGUUAAUGUUCACAUAAAUCCAGCCUGUCAAGCAUUAACUUGUUCAGCUCAGAUUUUAUAAAAGGCCUUCCUUUUUCUGCACUUUUUUGGAAAUUCCCCUCCUCCUGGCUGUUGUGUUUCAGAAGUAGGAUUGCUCUUCUAGCAUUCAGGCACCAUCCUGUGAACUGAAUAUUGGGCCUGCGUGUCUUCAGUAAAGGAAUCACAGUUGCCUAUUUUCUU